AGGAAGCACUAGGGGUGCCAGUUUGGCUGAGAGAGUCCCUUAGAACCUGACCUAGCUCAUACUAGCGUAGGAAAGUGUAACGCCCCCGCU
Molecule: non-coding RNA, 90 nt
Organism: Lysinibacillus sp. BF-4
Lineage: Bacteria; Bacillati; Bacillota; Bacilli; Caryophanales; Bacillaceae
Source: Rfam